CAGAGACUGCAAGCGUUAUUCGGAUUCACUGGGCGUAAAGGGUGCGCAGGCGGUCGGGUGUGUCAGAUGUGAAAUCCCGAGGCUCAACCUCGGAACUGCGUCUGAAACUACUCGACUAGAGUACUGGAGAGGGUAACGGAAUUCACGGUGAAGCAGUGAAAUGCGUAGAUAUCGUGAGGAACACCAGAGGCGAAGGCGGUUACCUGGACAGUUACUGACGCUCAGGCACGAAAGCAUGGGGAGCAAAAGGGAUUAGAUACCCCUGUAGUCCAUGCCCUAAACGGUGCACACUAGGUCUUAGCGGAUUCGACCCCACUAGGGCCCAAGCUAACGCGUUAAGUGUGCCGCCUGAGGACUACGGUCGCAAGACUA
RNAcentral lists this ribosomal RNA (372 nucleotides) under uncultured organism. RNAcentral describes it as "bacterial SSU rRNA". It matches the Rfam family "Bacterial small subunit ribosomal RNA", at positions 526 to 896 of the family's 1533-position model. The record is from RNAcentral.